AUACAAAGCAGUGCAGUAGUACAUUUAUACAUUUUUGUACAAAUAGUUAGUAGUUAAAUUGUUGACCAAGUGGUCUGUUGAUUACAGAGUAAUAUCAUUUGUCGAAAUCCCCGACACAUAUAUUUUGUAAUAUGAGGACAUAAAAAUAUAUUUUGAUAAUUACAGUGUUGCAGAACCCAAUACAGAAAACACCGUCCCUGAAUUCCAAGGGAACUUGAUGCUGAAUCACCUGUAACAAAAUCGUGUAUAAUAAAGGCAACAGUAGUAUACCGCUGUUCGAAAUUCAUAAAUCGAUUGAGAAAAAAACAAAUCCGCGUUACCAACUAAAACUGAGGUAAGCACAUCAAAUAUAAGAGAAGAACAACGACUUAACAGAAGCACAACACUAAAGUGUACCACACACAGAUACGAACUAUAAUAUAGCAGUGGCCAUUUUCAAGACUUGGUACAGAACAUUAAAAAAUGGUAAGUUGAAUCUGGUUUUGUGGCUAGCCCAACAUCGCACUUGUAUGGCAAUGUCAAAUAUAUUAACACUAAAAUGACACCAUUACAUCACAAGAAUACAGAACAAAUAAAUGCAAGAACAUCCAGGACAGAGGGUACUGCAAAUAAACAAUACAAUAUAGUAAAUUUCGACAACGAAACUACAGAAACACUGAUGUGAACAAAAUCAAACGACAAUGCAACACACAGAGAAACAAACUAUACGAUAACAAUUGCCAUUUUCCUGACUUGUACAAGACAUUUAUUUAAGACAAAAAAGUGGGUUUUUUUUUAAGAACAAAUAGUUGGUUGAAUAAUACAUGAUUGUACUUGGUCCUUAACAUUAUCAUUGCUACUGUGAAAAGCCGCCAUGCAAAAACAAAAUGAUCUUGCUUCACGUGACAGGGUCAUAUGCCAUCUAUGUAUGAAUAUUUUUGUAUUAAACUUCAUAGGCCUUAUUAAUCAGUACAUUCUCAAAAGGAAGUAGCCCGACAUUUUAAAUUUCACUGGGGCACACCCUCAUGCCUAGAAGUGGUACAUAAAUCAAUAUUCUAGCCUAAGAUCAGUAUAUCUGAGUGGUUACAUCUCCGUAAUUAAACAGUAUCUGAUACAACCUCUGUCGCUGGUAUCUCAGCAGGUUUACAUAGAAUCGUCGUCCAAGUAGGCCGUAACAGGCUUCGACAACGCACGAUUCGACAGAAAGAACUAUCUGUUGGAUCUAAUUUUACCAAGGUAUAGAUGUACAGACAAUAAGUGUUCUUUGGUAUAAUAAAUUGAAAGAGAUUAUUUCCGAAUUCGGUUAAGCGAUGAGUUAAGUUUUACUUCUCUAAAGAUGUGAUUUACGAACCAGCGUCGAAAUAUCUAAAGCUUUUCACCCACUGUCCUAGUACAGUAGGUUUUAAGAUUUCACAGUGGACGCAUCAUGAUGCUAAAAACCAUGUCCUAAAGGCUGGAGCAGAACACACAUGGGUAUUUUUUUGGAAAUUCGAUUGAUUGAUGAUUGCGCGUCGAAUGAAUACUUUUUAGCAGGAUAAUAACUGACCAUGAACAGCAAUGAUAUUCGUGCAUAUUCACAACACAAAUGCAUCGACAGAAACACAAAAUUUGCGGGGUUUGGAACCCAUAGAUCACGAAAUUGACCGCCAGCACCAAACAAAUGUAACAGUUUUGCAAAUUCUUGUUCAUUGCUAUGUAUGACAUUCUUGUAUUAGCAAAAAGUACAUCUGAAAUGGAUGUUUCAAGGUUCGAGUGGUUCAACACAUACAAAAAUUAAAAAACAAAUAUAAAAAAUAGGAAACAAAAAAGAAACAUUACAUCAAUUUACCUACUGACUUAUCUAGUUAUAAUUUUACGCUUUAUCUAACGUGAACCCAUGCAAUGACUGUCAGAUGAAAGUAUGUAAAAACAAAAAAAGACAAAAGUUAGGUAUAAUUAGGUAUUGUAAUACAUUUAAGCAUAUUUGAAGGUAAUAUUAAUUAGAAGCUGUAAAGAGCUUGUAUACACUGUAGCUCACCUUGGUAUAUAUUCAUACCAAACAAACGACACUCUCCAACAUUGUGACAACAAUCUCUAUUUUAUUUAUCUUGUAUUACAGAUCUUUUUAUAGACUGUUUAGUUUCUUUUCAUCCUCUAUAGUUUUUGCUCAAAACAUAAAAGAGGGUAACGAAAUUCUCAUUUAAGGGCCAAUAUACUCCUAUGAAGAGUGUCAUUCUACUAACUAUAUCGUCAACUUUUCAUUUUUACAUCAAGAUGACCUUGAGGCUUGUAAAUUUCCAUUAUGCAAAUUAGUUUUGGGUUUUCAACCGGUCUAUAAAAAUUACAGAUCCGCGGAAAUUAUCUAGUGCAAAAUAACAUUCCAUAUCGCUUGUUCCAAAUUCAUUUUUUAAAUGGAUACUCUUGUUAAUAUUUUUUGAAAACACAAAUUAAUAAUAUGAAAAUGUUUUGUCGUUAGAUAUAUUUUUUAAAGUAAAAAAUCAUUAAUAAUAGCUAUGCACACGUACCAAAAAGUUGUGUUCAAGCUUGCGGAAGAAUAUUGAAAUACCGUUUUGCGAUACUACCGGCAGAGACCGGUAAAUCUGUAAUUGGUUUUGCGGGAAAAUAUGAAUGGCUUCUCAUAUCAAAUAUUUUAGAAAAAUCGUUUUUUACAGAAUCACCAUGCACUGCUACUGCACUAUUAUUAGAACAGUAGAAUAGAAUGAUAUACAAAUGGAUGAUAAUUAAAUAUACACACAACUGUUAUAUUAAUCAAAUAUGAUAACAAACCAGUGUAUACUCUGGGACUAUUAUGCUAAUAUAAUAAUUGUCCCAGAGUAUACACUGGUUUGUAUCAUUACAAUAUAAUAGUUAUUACGUUGCGGUCGGAUUUCCUGUCACUUUUUCCUCACCCACACACAAAAUUUUCUCAGAAAAAAAUAUAUCUCUGUACAUUAACCUCAGUUUCGGGUAUAGAAAUGUGAUCUUUUUCUGUGACAUGUGCUUUUGACCAUCCACAAGAACUUGCGGUCAUCCGAUGUCCAGUACUUCAGUACUUUGAUUACUAGCUAUUGCCCUGUUGAUCAUUCUCGUGAUUUAAAGUGUUUAGUUUUCUAUUUUAAUUCAUAUCAUAUAAGACACAACAGAAAAAAAUUAUCAACUCCGUUUAGUACUGUAUAUAAUUAAGUUUACUGUGUUUGUCUUUGUGCAGAAAAUUAAAUAUAAUUUGAUGUAUUAUAUACUGUAAUCAUCUGUUAUUUCAAAGUCAAAUGUCAACCUGUUGCACUAAGUGUUUAAUUGUAGUGUAUUACAGUGACUAACUUAAUAAUUGCUGAUACAUGUAGAAUGAAUACUGACAUAAAAGAAACAGUACUUAAAACUAAUUGAAUUAUAGAAUAAAAGAGAUAUACGUACAAAGUAUUUCAAGUGCUUUCAACAAUGAUAUAUGCUAUGUAUUCGUUUUUGAAGAGUUGUCUCAUUGGCAAUCAUACCACAUCUUUUUUAAUACUAGAAACGAGCGCAGGCUGAAUGUAAUACCGUUAAGAUGAAAGUCAGUGUCCGUAAUCUGGAUUUCAACUUUGAUUGAUAAACGUUUCAAUUCUUAAUAAAUCAUGAAUCAUUUAUGAAAACUUACAAAAUAUAAGUGAAUGUACAAGUGUAGGAAGAAUGUAACUUACUAGAUUUCCGUUCAGAUAACACAUAUAACAAUAAGGAGAUGUGGUAUGAUUGCCAAUGAGACAAAUAUCCACCAAAGUGCAAAUGAAGUGCAUAUAGGCAAGUAUACGGUACGACCUUCAACAAUGAGAGAACGACUCACAUGAUUUAGUCGUCUGAACAAGGCUCCGACAUGGAAAAUAAAAAACACCAUGAAACAAUUCAUUUGAGAAAACCAAAAUGGCAUAAUUUAUAACAAUAUAAUUUACGAAAUACAAAAAUGACAAACAUGAACUAACGACAACCACUGAACUACAGCCUCUUGACUUGGAUACAAAGUGACAUGGUUAAACAUGUUUGUGAGCGCUCAAUCCUCCUAUAACCCUGAGACACUGGUGUUUUUUGUAUGUAGAUGUCAGUUCACGUUUCUUCAAAUUAUACGCCAGCCGGGUUCUACUACUCUAUAAUGUUUAGUUAACAUGUACAUGUACGCUUCUUAAUUUAUUUGGUCGUUCGCCGUUUUAGUUAGAAUUGAACGCAAGUAACCAAAUACUAGAAAGUCAAAAUAUAAAAAAAAAAGCAAUAGUCCUUGAAGUUAUCAUUUUGUAUAAUACAUUGAUUCUGGCAAGAGUAGACACCGAUGGUUGUUACUUAAAGUAUAAGUCUAUAGAAACUAACUCGUUGAAAAAAAACUCAGAUUUUGAAGUAAUAUUUUGGGUAAUAAGACAUUUUUUAACUUUGAAUGUGUCCUGACUCAAAGCCCAAUUGUGGAGUAAAGCUUUUUUUAUAAAUAGUCGUGUAAAUUCAAAAAUUACCAUAACAUGGUCUAUAGGCGAUUUUAUUUCUUAUCCGUAUAUAGCUUCUCCUAUAGUUACUUUCUGGAAAAAAUAAGAUAAAAUAUAAAAAUACUGCGUAAGUCUGCAGUACAGCAUGCUAUCAGUUUUUAUGUCACUAAUUAUUUUUCUGAUUUAUUUUAAAUUCGUGUUCUAUAAUUUUAAGUGUGUAUUUGGCAACACUUUUAGGAAUUUUGGAUCUCAAUGCUCUUCAACUUCGUACUUUAUUUGGCUUUUUUAAUUUUUGGAUUCGAGCGUCACUGAUGAGUCUUUUGUAACGAAACGCGCGUUGGCUUAUAUAAAAUUUAGUCCUGGUAUCAAUGAUGAGUUUAUUUGUAAUUAAUAGGAAUUUUUAAGAUUUAAAUUUUAAUAAUCUUUACAUUUUGAGUUAUAUAAAGUCACAAAUUAAAGUAAUCAUCGAUCUGUUUUCAGUUUUCAACAUUUUGGCUGCAAUGUUAUCCAUAAACACUCUUAGACCUCAGCUUUAGUUUGUUACCCGGAUUUUUUCCCCUCUCAAUCGAUUUAUGACUUUCGACCAGUGGCAUACUACUUUUACCUUUAUUUAGACGUAUUUGGCACAAUUUUUUUGAAUUUAUGGUCGUAAAUGAUCUUCAACAUUAUAUUUGUUUUGUUUAGCUUUCUAACUAUUUUAAUCUGAGCGUCACUGAUGAGUCUUAUGUAGACGAAACGUGCGUCUGGCGUAUCAAAUUAUAAGCCUGGUAAUUAUAAGCCUGGUACUUUUGAUAACUAUUCGAAUGGUUUUUUUUCAAAUAAAUGACAAUCUUACGUUGUUCUCCUCUUACAAUUAUUAUUUUUUACAAUGUUGAACCAAAUUAUAUUCUCUAAAAGUACGUCACUAUAUUUGUGCUACUGAACAUGAUGCGCAGUUUAAAUCUAGGCUGCAUAGUUUCGACGUGUACUUAAUACAUGGCAUUGUAUCUUUUUAUUACUAUCCCUUUUUCUAUAUUUCUUUUAAGUGCAAAGUCUUCAGAUUAUACCAUGCAUCCUGCCUUGGAUCCUUGCCCAAUAACCAAUGCAUUGCGGUAAGUGCAACUCAUAAUCUUGCAAUCAAUCUGUCAUGUUUUAAAUAGUGCAUUUAGUUUAUAAAGUACCAUUGUAUAAAUUUUGGAAUUGUACUCAUACUAAGAAUGCAAGUCACUCUUGAAUUUUGAUCUUUGUCUGUUAUGGUCAUUCGUUUUGGUGGUGCCUCACAUAUGGCUGGAUAAUUAUUUGAAAGUACAUACUAUCUCGGUUUCUGAUAGAAUACGAUUAAAUUUUUGCUAACUGAUACAUGCCUUAAAUUAUGGUAAUAAUGGGCUGUUGUUUACAUCUUGCUUGGUUCCACAGUCUUUAAACAUCAUGCCACGGCCUCCGUUUUGUAUAUUGUUUGUGAAUUGUUAUAUGACAAUCUAUAAGUUACACUUUGACGAAUUUUAUCAGUUACUUUUUAUGAUCAUAAGUAUGCUUCUUCCUGUCGACCUUGAUGUUUGAGUUUCCUUUUAUUAUUUCCUUAAUAGAAGUCGCUGUUUAAAAGGAAGCUGUUGAAACAGGGUUGUGUACAGCAGUUAUCGUCAAAUUGAAACCCUCUUGAAACAGAAAUGAAUUGGUUGGUCUAGAUGAACUAUCUAUGUCAAGCAUGACCCAGGAUAAUAUUUACAUUUGAUCGCAGCGAUAUCGUCUUUCUUUUCUUGUUUAUCUUAAAUUUCCUAUGUAUAGUAUUUCAUUCUGUUUUCAAUUUCUGUGUUUUUAUGUCCAAAGACACUUCCACUUGCACAUUUAAUUCAUUCUUAAGGGUUAGAGAAUUUCCACGUACAGCUUAUGUGUUUUUGUAUUGUGUAAGGUUAGACGAAAUAUCUACAAUUCCACACCAAUGACUGUAACUAUUGAAAUUGAAAUUGAGAACGGAAAUUGGCAAUGUGUCAAAUAAACUCAUCAUAGAUACCAGGACUAAAUUUUGUAUAUACGCCAGAGGCGCAUUUAGUCUACAUAAGACUCAUCAGUGACGCUCGAAUCCGAAAAAAAAAAAAAAAGGCCAAAUAAAGUACGAAGUUGAAGAGCAUUGAGGACCAAAAUUCCUAAAAUUCCUAAAAGAGACAACAACCCGACCAAAGAGCAGAAAACAGCCGAAGGCCAGCGGAAAUAUUCUAACAUUUACACCAACGGAUAUCUUUAGUGAGACGAAUAAUCUGUGACCCAGUGCGCAGUGACGGAGUUUCAUCCGCGUUUAGGUAUGCCAUCAAUUAAAGUUGAACAUUUCAAAGUCGUUAGUCAUUUUUCCACCAGUCAAGAUCUGUUUUUGUUUUUCGUCGUCUUUAGUUUUUGAUUGUCCUCUCGGUAUAGUCUUACUGUUUUAUCCCUGCCCCGAACAUUGACCUAUGCAACC
RNAcentral lists this long non-coding RNA (6825 nucleotides) under Mytilus galloprovincialis (Mediterranean mussel). The record is from RNAcentral. Lineage: Eukaryota; Metazoa; Mollusca; Bivalvia; Mytilida; Mytilidae.